Nicotiana attenuata is the source of this 1310-nucleotide long non-coding RNA. RefSeq lists it as uncharacterized. The record is from RefSeq and is a predicted model, not a curated record. NCBI's taxonomy places the organism in Eukaryota, Viridiplantae, Streptophyta, Magnoliopsida, Solanales, Solanaceae. The transcript is spliced from 5 exons.
UUAUUUUUAUAAUAUAAAGUUAGUUUUCAAGAUAUAUAGGUAGCAUUACUAAAUUUGUCAGUAACAUUACAAUGUUCUUAACUAUGCCCAAUGAAAUAUUUCUUAUAAAAAUUAAAAUCAAAGCUCACGGAUUUAUCAGCCCAACCAUAUUCGUUAAUCCAAUAAAUAAAUACCCAUAUUUAGCACACUGAAAUAUUAGAUUAACAUUUUCACAGAAAUAAUAUUAACAAAUAAAUCUUUAAAAAACUUAAUAUUAAACACACAUAUCUUUGAUUUUUUUUUUAAAAUUUUUUACAGACUAUAAAAACUACAUUUGUUAAAUAAAUCUAUUUGCACUACAACAAAUUUGGUCUAAGGCCACACUAACUUUAGCCAACGCUCGGAAAGCAUUGUCAAAAACAUCUAUGGGAACGCUUAUAAAGGGGUGGCCUAGUUUAGACCACACUUGUUAAGAGUUCUCUUUGAAUAUAUAGACAACGCAUUUUAAGUGUUGUCAACUCAAAGAACAUUUGGCAGCACAUACUCACCUAUAUUACAACGUUUUUAGAGCGUCCCAUUUCUUAAUCAUAAAAGCAACCCUUUAUAAGGGUGCUCUAAACUUUUCCAAUAAAAUUUUUCAUUAGAAGUUUCCCUCCAUUAUUGUUCCUAAUGAAAUAUUUGGGAGGGAAUUUAAGAAAAAAUGAAAUAUUUUCUCCUAUUUUCUAAAAGAAAAAACGAUAGUACAAUAAAUAUUUGCCAAUUUUUUAUCCCACACCUCCGUCGACUUGCUGGUGUUGAAGAAAUUUCCAUUUUUACUGCCGCAUCUUCCACCACUUCUGUUGCUGCUUUAUCGCUGCUUCCACAUUAAUGAUUGGUUAAGUCUUAAAAUGUGGUGCAGUACUCGAAUUGCAUCUUGGAGAGCUGAACUAGGUCUACCUAAACUGAAUGUUGGAAUUAUUUAGUUGUGGAGGAUUGCAUAGUAGUUUCACUUGGAUUUGCUACAUGAGGUCCUAGCAUUUUCAUCUCUACUGUUUUCUUUGUGGAGGACAAGGUUUUCAGAGAAUUAGUAAUCUCAAAAUUGGCUAGAGGUCUGCUCCAUAUAGAUUUUGAUGAACGUACAACAUCAAAGGAAAGUCUUGGUGAGCAGUUGGAAAUGGUGGCCAAACGACAAUUUGACUGAAUGGAAUGUAAUCAUCAAGACUUUGGGCAAUUAUGAUUUUUGUUAUUCCUGAUACUAUAAUAAUACAUUUGCUUUUUAUAAAGUUAAUUAAUUGCUAGCAUGCCCCUUGAUACAAGAUUCUUUAUUCGUUGAUGUAUUACACGAGAUUUAU